RNAcentral lists this ribosomal RNA (460 nucleotides) under uncultured bacterium. Its description in RNAcentral is "partial 16S ribosomal RNA". It matches the Rfam family "Bacterial small subunit ribosomal RNA", at positions 338 to 795 of the family's 1533-position model. The record is from RNAcentral.
CCUACGGGAGGCAGCAGUGAGGAAUAUUGGUCAAUGGCCGGAAGGCUGAACCAGCCAUGCCGCGUGAAGGUCAGUGCCCUAUGGGCGUUAAACUUCUUUUGUGCGGGAGCAAUAAUGGUCACGUGUGGCCAGACGAUUGUACCGUACGAAUAAGCAUCGGCUAACUCCGUGCCAGCAGCCGCGGUAAUACGGGGGGUGCAAGCGUUAUCCGGAUUUAUUGGGUUUAAAGGGUGCGUAGGCUGGGCGGUAAGUCAGCGGUGAAAUGCCCCCGCUCAACGGGGUGAAGUGCCAUUGAUACUGCUUUGCUGGAAUGCGGAUGCCGUGGGAGGAAUGUGUGGUGUAGCGGUGAAAUGCAUAGAUAUCACACAGAACACCGAGUGCGAAGGCAUCUCACGAAUCCGCGAUUGACGCUGAUGCACGAAAGCGUGGGUAUCAAACAGGAUUAGAUACCCGAGUAGUC